CUAAAUCACCCACAUUAACGUAUUUCAGUCCCGAUCUUGCAGCAAGUUCUUUGCCUAGUGUGGUUUUCCCAACCCCUGGUGUACCCUGUUUAAAGUCUUUC
Molecule: long non-coding RNA, 101 nt
Organism: Myotis davidii
Lineage: Eukaryota; Metazoa; Chordata; Mammalia; Chiroptera; Vespertilionidae
Exons: 3
Source: RefSeq, a predicted model, not a curated record